RNAcentral lists this ribosomal RNA (467 nucleotides) under uncultured bacterium. RNAcentral's name for it is "partial 16S ribosomal RNA". It matches the Rfam family "Bacterial small subunit ribosomal RNA", at positions 28 to 507 of the family's 1533-position model. The record is from RNAcentral.
GACGAACGCUGGCGGCGUGCUUAACACAUGCAAGUCGAACGAUGACGACCGAGCUUGCUCGGUCUGAUUAGUGGCGAACGGGUGAGUAACACGUGAGCAACCUGCCCUUCACUCUGGGAUAACCUCGGGAAAUCGGGGCUAAUACCGGAUAUGAGCUCCUGUCGCAUGGCGGGUGUUGGAAAGUUUUUCGGUGAAGGAUGGGCUCGCGGCCUAUCAGUUUGUUGGUGAGGUAGUGGCUCACCAAGGCGAUGACGGGUAGCCGGCCUGAGAGGGCGACCGGCCACACUGGGACUGAGACACGGCCCAGACUCCUACGGGAGGCAGCAGUGGGGAAUAUUGCACAAUGGGCGAAAGCCUGAUGCAGCGACGCCGCGUGAGGGAUGACGGCCUUCGGGUUGUAAACCUCUUUCAGCAGGGAAGAAGCGAAAGUGACGGUACCUGCAGAAGAAGCGCCGGUUAACUACGUG